Molecule: long non-coding RNA, 5059 nt
Organism: Erpetoichthys calabaricus (reedfish)
Lineage: Eukaryota; Metazoa; Chordata; Cladistia; Polypteriformes; Polypteridae
Exons: 4
Source: RefSeq, a predicted model, not a curated record
AUGAGAUUCACUCAUUUUAAAAGAAGGCCAACUAUGGAUGCCAUCUCAGGACUGGUCUUCUUACACUAACCUUUGACCCCGCCGGGGCUCAUAUUCCUCUCAAAAGACCAAAUCACAGUAAACUUUUUCAUGCUACAUGAUUGGUUCUGUUUUGAUUAAUUUCCGUAUUUAUGUGAGAAUUCACACAAGAGAGUAAAAAACGUAUUCUUAACAUGAGAAAAAAAGUAGCAGGAAUAUGCGAUAAAACCAUUAUUAUCACAAACGUGUGUCGGAAGGCAUGUUUCCUUAUAUUGAAACUUUUUCCGGCGAUGCCCCAUGCCCCCAUAGCUUUCUUUGCAGAGCACCAGCGUGUGUAAGACAUAUUUGUUUUCAUUUAUAGGAAACGCUUAAAUUUCAAGCACAAUUUCACAUGGCAAAUGCAUAUAUACCAUGUUUGUGAUGAAAUAUCUUCAACUUGAAAAAUUUUGAAUGUAUCCUUUAAUUUGAAAUGCUGUUUUAGCAAUGUCUGUUUUGGCCUUCGCAUCCAUUCCCAUUCCUUGGGCCAAUAGAACAAGUACUUUUCUAAAGGUCGAUUUUGUACUAUCGCUGUAUGAGCGUACAUUUUAUUUGUAAUUGCAACUUCACUUUCGAGAUAAUAAUAAUAACUCUUUACAUUUAUGUCAAAGCGCUUUUCGUAGUAAAAGGGAAACCACUUCUAUCACCACUAAUGUGCAGCAUCCACCUGGAUGAUGCGACAGCGGCCAUUUUGAACCACUACACUCAUCACCCAUUAGGAAGUGAAGGGGUGAGAGAUAGCAAGCCAGUUACAGACAGGGGAUGAUAAGAGGGCUAGAAUGACUAGGCCUUGGUGCAGCACAUCGGGAUACACCCUACUCUUUACGAAGGAUGCCCAGGGAUCUUUUAUGACCACAGAGAGUCAGGACCUCAUUUUUAUAAGGACAGAUCUGAGGGUUUUGUUAGGAUUUGUUAGGGAAAAUACUCAAGAGUCCAGUAUGGAAACCUGUAUUGUGGUCUGCAUAUUGAUCUGGCAUAAUUUUACACCGGAUGUCCUUCCUGACGUAACCCUCCCCAUUUAUCCGAGCUUACGACCGGCACUGUGGCUGGGUUAAAACUCAAGAGUCACCAUUAAUAAUGAAAUUCAGGACGUCAUUUAUUACAGGAGGCUUGAAGGUUGUCAGCGCAGUGCACUCAAUCAGCUCGAAUAAUAAACCAAUGGCCUUAAAUAAAGUGGGUUCAUGUACAAAAUACAAUUUAAGCAGCAUUUUGGUUUGCACCAAUCAGAACGCCCAUAAAUGAUAUGCAGGGUGUGACAGUUUAAUUCCCGUAAUUCGUGUCGCCUGUGUGCCUCCAAUCUUGACAGAUGAAGCGGGGCUAAAAGUUGUAACUGGUGUUUCUUCAAACGAACACACGUUUAACACGGUGGUGAUGAAACGUGGCAUUUUCAAAACAAUACGGCAAAGUGUAUCGUGGAAAAAAAGGAAAAACGCAUGUCACGCUCGCAGUUUAAGACCACGCUCGUGUGAUUUUCUUUUCUGGCCAUGGUGAACUCGGUGUUUUGCAAUUUUGUGAUAAUCAAUUUUGUCACCUUGUCCUGUUACACCUGUUUCCCAGACAGUUCCCAAGGAUUAUGUUGAGCUCUUUUGUAAGUAAUUUUGGAAAAAAAGUUGAGAAACGCUGGAGUAAAUGUAAAUGGGGGAAAGACUUUGUUGUCUCCGUUCUCUGUGAAAACUUGAGAUGAGGAACACGUACCUAAAUGAUCAUUUUUUAGAUGGACUAUGUCUUUAAGUGAGCAUUGAAUGCUACAUUGUUCAUUUACAACAAUCACAGAAUUAAACUGGAGUGUACCUAGUGUGAAUCGGUAAAAUGUUCUGGUACUGGAAUUCAGUGGGAAUGGAGGUGGAGAGUCAAACUGUUUAGAAAAGCUCUCUUUGAAUUAUUAAAUGUGGCCGAAAGUGCAUUGAGCGAGUUAAAAUUCCAGCGAUCCCCGAUGAUAAUAAUGUGAAAAAGGGUAAAGUGUCGAGGUGUGGUGUUAUGAUGGGGUGGGAAAAUAGAAAAGCCGAGCAAAUCUGACGACAGUAACGCCGAUGUCACAUGAUAUGACUUCUAGUCGGGAUUGCAGCUGCACGUCAGUUUACGCGACUGAAAAUCCGCUCGACAUGACACAGUUGUGCCCGCCCCUUUUUGCGACAGCCAAUAGCGUGCUGCCUGCUGGAGCUAGUGCUGUAUGUAGGGUUAACAGUUACAGUGAGUUCAGCUGCCGUCUUGGCCAGUUUUCUUUCUUUAUUUCGAUUCUGUCGUGGUACGUAGAAUACAAAACAUUUGACAGCUUUACUUCUGUUAUUUUGUGAGGUCUAAAACACUCUUGUUUCUUUUUUUCUCAUCAUUACAGUAGAUGCAUUGUACUUCCGGAGGGGCAUUCUUUGGUUGUCAGCAUUCAUAUACACAGAUGAUUCAUAUACACUAUGACUGGAGACAAAAUCAGACGAGUUUGAUUUAGUCGGAGUGAGUUGCAUACUAGUUGGAGGGCAUGUCACACACCAUGACUGGAAACUGACUGCCUCCGAUUCGCUGAGAUUAUGUAAAUUAAUGAAGGCAAUGACUGAAAAGCCAAGUAGCCCUCACUGGGACAUGUGACAGGGCGGAGAUGGAGCUCAGGGGGCGGGAACGGAGCUUAAGGGGGUGUGGACAGACAAAGCUAAGAUUUUGUAAAUUAAUGAAGGUAAUGACUGAAAACUGCUGCAAAAGCCAAGUAGCCCUCGCUGUGGGACACAGGACAGGACAGAAACGGAGCUCAGGUGGGCGGGAACGGAGCUUGGGGAGGGGGGGUGUGGAUUUUCAUACCCGCCGAUGUAACGCUGUCCUCAUUUGCAUGGUUAGUUGUGGUUGGUUCGGAGUUAGCCACCCCAUCCCAUCCUGCUUACACAGAUUUUCUUCGUUUUCCUCUUAAAAUAAUUGGUUCAUAAAAUGCAGCACAAGCUCCAAAAUAGCCACCUAAAAAACAUCAGUUGCUUAGGCAUCAGUGUAAUUAAAUAUUUAAUGAUAAUUAAAUAUGAAUACAUUUCUCAAGUCACAUUUAUGAAUGAGUAUCUUUCUACUGUCAUCUGUUGAAAUGUACAUUGUGCUGUUAACUUGUCGUUACAUCAUUAUAGUUUGUGGGAUUUGAACUAAGGUAACUCCUAACUACCAUUUUUACUCCUGUACCACAAACCCUUGUGUAAGACGCGCACCCUAAUUUUUACAAAGAAAAUCGCAAAAACCGUUUUGCCCCGUGUACGAGGCGCGUUGUGAUUGUAUGGGAAACAUGUAGGGCAUGUUUUCCACAAAAUGCCCUUCUGUUUUUGUUGCAUGACAAAAGUUUUUCUUUCUUCCAUUGUGAGAGAGCGCGAGCGAGAGAGAGAGUGUGAACGAGAGAGAGCAUGAGCGAGCGAGAGAGAGAGAGAGCGUGAGCGAGCGAGAGAGAGAGAGCGUGAGCGAGAGAGAGAGCAUGAGCGAGAGAGAGAGCGUGAGCGAGCGACAGAGACAGCGAGAGAGUGUGAGCGAGAGAGAGAAAGAGAGAGCGAGAGAGAGAGAGAGACAGAGAGCGUGAGUGAGCGACAGACAGCGAGAGAGUGUGAGCGAGCGAGAGAGAGAGAGCGUGAGUGAGCGAGAGAGAGAGAGAGAGAGAGAGCCCAAGCAGAAGAAGUAAACAUUACAGAAAAAAAUUUCCUCGUUUAUGACGCGCACCUGAUUUUCUAAUACUAAUUUUCGGGAAAAAAUGUGCGCAUGGUACACGCAUAAAUACGGUAAUGAUACUUUAUUUCACAUAAGUUAUGGUUCUUUGAUGUCGACUUUCUGUAUGUGAAGGCUUGGACUGUUACACAUUCAUAUUUUCAAGAUGCACUUCCAUAUUAUUGUGUAUUAAUGUUGUGGCUAUGGCCAAAGAUUAAGAAACCACGUACUUCGUUGAGACUAAUGUAAAGGAAUUGGACUGACUGUGUUUUAUUCACAAACCCCAUCCCGGUCCACCACCCCCCACCCCACCAACUCCAUCCCAGCCACAUUACGCAACUCGCAAAGGGGGACCCCCCCCUCUCAGAAAAGCCGUCUAAUGAGACACAGCUUUAUGCGGAUCUGGCUUGUUCAGUUAUGUUGUGCAUGCAGGACAUGUAAAGAUUUGUCAAGUGAAUGAAUAAAUAAGAUAUUAAAAGAUAUUAAAAGUUGGGACGCCAGCAGGGUGGUCCCGUUGAAUUCCUCUAAAUGCAAACAAAAGCAGCGAAUGAUGGCGUGAUUUCAAUACUGAUCUCCAAAAGGAAAGAGCCUGAGAGCUACUGAUCUUCUUGAUCAGGAUGGCGGCCUGUCCUGUGGUCAGCUCAGUCCAUCAAUAGACCCCCUUUUUUGAGCUUUUGGCCAAAAUGGGGUGGAGUCAGUUGCCCUUUUCUCGAAGCUAUGGAGAAAAAAGGAGACGACACGAACACAAUUAACGAUGGCGCCCCCUCUCUCCCUGGGGUGGUUAUGACAGACCUCUCUGAUGAGCUCAGAAGAUGCACCUCCAGGAAUUAGGAUUUUUGCAAAGUAGUCCAUUUAAAUCCAAAAUGUUUUUGAAAAAGCAGAUUGUGUGGUUGUCCUAUCCAAAGGAUUUCCAUUGUUUUUCUCCUUGGUUUGACUUCUCUGGUUCCUUUCUGAUUUGCUUUGCAACGCCUGUCUGCUCCAUUACCAUCAUUCAAACUGAAAUAGUGUAGACGUCAUCAUUCAAAAGCCUUUGGUAUGUAACCAGAAAACCCUCAGAAUAACGUCGCUUGUUUAAGUUCCACAGAUUUACUUUAUUUUUGUAAAGAAGAACCGGACAGCUUUGCUUCAUACAACUGAGAGCUGCUAUCUGGAUGAAUGGUCCACAGUCCCUGGAGGUCGAUCUCUUGCUGGGUGAUUUUAGCCUCUUGCCUCCUUUUUUUGUGUGUAUCUGCAUCACAGGAUGUUGCUAUUAAGGAGAUAAUGAAGUUGCAACAUUCUGUGCCCUACAAGAUUUGAAGUAUUAACCUUGUACAGAAAUCAUUUAUUCCAAAGAAUAAAGAGGAUAAUUUGA